RNAcentral lists this ribosomal RNA (653 nucleotides) under uncultured marine eukaryote. Its description in RNAcentral is "SSU rRNA". It matches the Rfam family "Eukaryotic small subunit ribosomal RNA", at positions 618 to 1275 of the family's 1831-position model. The record is from RNAcentral.
GUUAAAAAGCUCGUAGUUGGAUUUCUGUCGAGGACGGCCGGUCCGCACUUUGUGCGUGUAUCUGGUUCGGUCUUGGCAUCCUCUUGGGGAACGUUUCUGUGCUUCGUUGCAUGGGGCGGGAUUCAAGACUUUUACUUUGAGGAAAUUAGAGUGUUCACGGCAAGCUAUCGCUUUGAAUACAUUAGCAUGGAAUAAUAAUAUAGGGCGUAAGUUCUAUUUUGUUGGUUUCUAGGACAUACGCAAUGAUUAAUAGGGACAAUUGGGGGCAUUCGUAUUAACGCGUCAGAGGUGGAAUUCUUAGAUUGCGUUACGACGAACUACUGCGAAAGCAUUUGCCAAGGAUGUUUUCAUUGAUCAAGAACGAAAGUAUGGGGAUCGAAGACGAUUAGAUACCGUCGUAGUCUAUACCAUAAACUAUGCCAAUUAGAGAUUGGAGGUCGUUCGUUUUAUGACUCCUUCAGCACCUUAUGAGAAAUCAAAAUUUUUGGGUUCCGGGGGGAGUAUGGUCGCAAGGCUGAAACUUAAAGGAAUUGACGGAAGGGCACCACCAGGAGUGGAGCCUGCGGCUUAAUUUGACUCAACACGGGAAAACUUACCAGGUCCAGACAUAGUAAGGAUUGACAGAUUGACAGCUCUUUCUUGAUUCUAUGGGU